UUUGUUAAGAAAAAAUGUAAAAUAGUUAUUAUUUAAAAAAAAAAAACAAAAAAAACACAACUCAAUUCAAAAAAAUUAUAGCUUGAAAUAUCACUUUCAAAAUUUAUUAUUACAUAUGAUACUACGUAUAAUUAUGAAGUCAUUAGUUAUAAAAGAGACACUUACAUGAUCUAGUCAGGUUAGGCCUAAGAAUUAUUUUCAUAUGUCCGAGCUCCUCUUUCACCUACAUAUCAUAUCAUUUACAUUCAACAAGGUUCAACAUUGAUGGUAAAAACAAAAUAUCAAAUAAAAAACGUUAAAUGUAAAUGAUAUAGAACCAUCGAAGUCUUAUAUUAUAGGACCACAUCCUUAAUUGUUAUAUAUUGAAUUAAAUAUGAUCAAUUAAAAAAA
This 390-nucleotide long non-coding RNA is filed under the name Mytilus galloprovincialis (Mediterranean mussel). Lineage: Eukaryota; Metazoa; Mollusca; Bivalvia; Mytilida; Mytilidae. The record is from RNAcentral.